RNAcentral lists this ribosomal RNA (420 nucleotides) under bacterium. Its description in RNAcentral is "partial 16S ribosomal RNA". It matches the Rfam family "Bacterial small subunit ribosomal RNA", at positions 355 to 776 of the family's 1533-position model. The record is from RNAcentral.
UGGGGGAUAUUGCACAAUGGGCGAAAGCCUGAUGCAGCGACGCCGCGUGGGGGAUGAAGGCUUUCGGGUUGUAAACCUCUUUCGCUAUCGAACAAGGCCCGCUUAGGGUGGGUUGAGGGUAGGUGGAGAAGAAGCGCCGGCUAACUACGUGCCAGCAGCCGCGGUAAUACGUAGGGCGCGAGCGUUGUCCGGAAUUAUUGGGCGUAAAGGGCUUGUAGGUGGCUUGUUGCGCCUGCUGUGAAAACGCGGGGCUUAACUUCGCGCGUGCAGUGGGUACGGGCAGGCUUGAGUGUGGUAGGGGUGACUGGAAUUCCAGGUGUAGCGGUGGAAUGCGCAGAUAUCUGGAGGAACACCGAUGGCGAAGGCAGGUCACUGGGCCAUUACUGACGCUGAGGAGCGAAAGCAUGGGUAGCGAACAGG